GUGGGGAAUAUUGGACAAUGGGCGCAAGCCUGAUCCAGCCAUGCCGCGUGAGUGAUGAAGGCCUUAGGGUUGUAAAGCUCUUUCGCCGACGAAGAUAAUGACGGUAGUCGGAGAAGAAGCCCCGGCUAACUUCGUGCCAGCAGCCGCGGUAAUACGAAGGGGGCUAGCGUUGUUCGGAAUCACUGGGCGUAAAGCGCACGUAGGCGGACAUUUAAGUCAGGGGUGAAAGCCUGGAGCUCAACUCCAGAACUGCCCUUGAUACUGGGUGUCUCGAGUCCGGAAGAGGUAAGUGGAACUGCGAGUGUAGAGGUGAAAUUCGUAGAUAUUCGCAAGAACACCAGUGGCGAAGGCGGCUUACUGGUCCGGUACUGACGCUGAGGUGCGAAAGCGUGGGGAGCAAACAGGAUUAGAAACCCGGGUAGUCC
RNAcentral lists this ribosomal RNA (425 nucleotides) under uncultured bacterium. RNAcentral describes it as "partial 16S ribosomal RNA". It matches the Rfam family "Bacterial small subunit ribosomal RNA", at positions 354 to 796 of the family's 1533-position model. The record is from RNAcentral.